GCCGGGAUCGCCUAGCCUGGUUAGGGCGGCGGCCUGCUAAGCCGUUGGGGGAAACCCCGCGUGGGUUCAAAUCCCACUCCCGGCG
Molecule: transfer RNA, 85 nt
Filed under: Metallosphaera sedula
Lineage: Archaea; Thermoproteati; Thermoproteota; Thermoprotei; Sulfolobales; Sulfolobaceae
Also listed under: 4 other names
Description: tRNA-Ser (GCT) (tRNA-Ser-GCT-1-1)
Rfam family: tRNA
About the family: Transfer RNA (tRNA) molecules are approximately 80 nucleotides in length. Their secondary structure includes four short double-helical elements and three loops (D, anti-codon, and T loops). Further hydrogen bonds mediate the characteristic L-shaped molecular structure. tRNAs have two regions of fundamental functional importance: the anti-codon, which is responsible for specific mRNA codon recognition, and the 3' end, to which the tRNAs corresponding amino acid is attached (by aminoacyl-tRNA synthetases). tRNAs cope with the degeneracy of the genetic code in two manners: having more than one tRNA (with a specific anti-codon) for a particular amino acid; and 'wobble' base-pairing, i.e. permitting non-standard base-pairing at the 3rd anti-codon position.
Source: RNAcentral